Long non-coding RNA from Bos grunniens (domestic yak), 4599 nucleotides. Lineage: Eukaryota; Metazoa; Chordata; Mammalia; Artiodactyla; Bovidae. The record is from Ensembl.
AUGAUGAUGAUCUCAGUAACAAUUGUGCAGAUCUUUUUAACACAUCCAUUCAACAAGCCAUCAAUUGCUUUCAUGUCUUCCGGAGUCAAUUCAAAGUCAAGAACCUGGAAUAAAGGAAGAAUCACGUUGACUUCUCCCCUAAGGAGCUGGCCUCCCCCUGAGGACUGCAGGACCUUCCAGCUGGAUGGAGACAAGAAGAGGGGACAGGGAAGCCGUGUCUGUCUUCAGCUUCCAGGUGAACAACUUGGGACCCUCUGCAGAGUUCUCACUUCUCCUUUCUACAACUUCUACUUUUCUGCUCCAGUUCUCAGACAGACACACACACACAGGUUGCAAGGCAUCAAUCCCCUAUCUUUCUACGUGAAUUUCUUUUGACAGAAGAAAAGCAAACAAAAAAUCAACUUUUUUUGCAAACAAAGACACUGUUGGACAACCUGGACAAAAUACAUGCACUUGACCGAACACUAGACUGUUUUCUUCCUUCUCAACAUCCUCUAAAAUAUGACACAGCAUAGAGCUUAAGCAAAUAUGGAAAAGAGGAUCCCCCUGUGAAAACCUAAUCAAGAAUCUGAUAGCAAACUUAUUCAUUACCUAUGAAUAAAUCUAAAACAUUGAUUAUGUACAUGUCUCUGUGACAAAGUUAUGAGAUGCAUUUAAAAUAUUAAAGAAUACUUAAAUAAUUAAAAAUGCAUAUCAUAGUCACAAAAUGGAAAUGUCAAUUUCAUAUACAAAUCAGUUUUCUCCAAAGUGAGAAAUGCAAUGUGCACCAAAGUCUUAAACAGUUAUUAUUUUGUGGAAGUUGGUAGAUUGAUACUAAAUUUUAUAUAAAAGAACAGCUAGUCAAGAGCAGUGACGACAUACUUAAAGGGAAAAAAAGAACGCUAUUUAAAACAAGAUUAUUUUCCACUAUAAUAAAGUAACAGAGAGAGGCCAGAAAUGUACUUAUGGACAUUUGAUACAUGACAGAGUUGACAGUGAAAAUCUGUGGGAAAAUACUGACACAUAGAUUUCUGUUUAACUAUAUGUAUAUACCUUUUCAUGUCAUAUUCAAAAAUCAGUUUAAGUGUAUUACAGAUUGAGAUUUGUGUGGAAACAAAAAACCAGUUUAUUAGGGAACAUUUCCCUUACCCUUGAAUAAGUUUGACCUGUAACUUCCACUGGACAGUGAUAUUUCCCAGAAGUGGUGAGUCAGAUCUGAGCCCAGACAGGAAGAGGAUUUUUUUCCCACUCACUGACUGGGGUUAAUUGUGCUGUGAUGAGAUAAAGACCAAGUAGGUUGACAACAGUCUAGCCAAAUAUAUAUGACAAUAUAUACAGAGAAGCAUGCAGUCUUCUCUAACAAUAGGCUCAUCCACCUGCUAAAGCAGAACUGCCAAGCAGCUCUGCACUGAACAGCUGCUGCUGCUGCUAAGUCGCUUCAGUCAUGUCUGACUCUGUGCAACCCCAUAGACAGCAGCCCACCAGGCUCCCCCGUCCCUGGGAUUCCCCAGGCAAGAACACUGGAGUGGGUUGCCAUUUCCUUCUCCAAUGCAUGAAAGUGAAAGGUGAAAGUGAAGUUGCUCGGUCGUGUCGGACUCUUAGCGACCUCAUGGACUGCAGCCUACCAGGCUGCUCCAUCCGUGAGAUUUUCCAGGCAAGAGUACUGAAGUAGGGUGCCAUUGAACUACAAAUACCCAAAAGAGUUCAGCCAAGAAGACAACAGCUUAGCUGAGUGCAGGUUGAUUGUGAAACCACAGAAUCAAGAGACACAUAAACGAUCUCUGCCUUAAACCCCUAAAUGGGGGAGAUUUCCUGUACAGCUAUGGCUAAUGGUAUAAUAUAAAAAUAAAAAGACAUAUAAUCUAAUAAAAAUGUACAAAGUCAUAAAUAGGAACUUCACAAAGGCAGAAACUGAAAUGCAUGAAAAUGAAACUACAUUAAUAUUCAGAGGAAUGUAAAAUAAAAUAUGAUGAAUUGGUUCAGGAUGACUGCUUUCACUCGCAUGUCCCCAAACUCAUAUGUUGUUAACCUUACCCGCCCUGUGAUGGUGCUAGAAAUGGAGCUUUUGAGGGGUGAUUAUAUCAUGAUAGUGGAGCUUUUAUGAAUGAGAUUUGAACAGUAUCAUAUUCAUAUAAGAGACUUGAGAGAGCUCUGUUGCCCCCUCCACCAUGUUAAGGUACAAGGAGAAGCCUGUGACCUGGAGGAGAGCCCUCACCUGAUCACCCAGGCACCCUGACUCCAGUCUUUCAGCUUUAGAACUGUGAGGAAUAAAGUUCAAUUUUUUUGCUAAGCCACUCAAUCUGUGGUAUUUUGUUAGAGCAGCCUAAACAAUUUAAGAAAAUCACAUAAUGCAACUUUGUCAAUUGAAAACAAAGAAAAUAAGAUGAAUUGGUUCAGGAUGACUGCUUUCACUGCAUGUCCCCAAACUCAUAUGUUGUUAACCUUACCGCCCUGUGAUGGUGCUAGAAAUGGAGCUUUUGAGGGUGAUUAUAUCAUGAUAGUGGAGCUUUUAUGAAUGAGAUUUGAACAGUAUCAUAUUCAUAUAAGAGACUUGAGAGAGCUCUGUUGCCCCCUCCACCAUGUUAAGGUACAAGGAGAAGCCUGUGACCUGGAGGAGAGCCCUCACCUGAUCACCCAGGCACCCUGACUCCAGUCUUUCAGCUUUAGAACUGUGAGGAAUAAAGUUCAAUUUUUUUGCUAAGCCACUCAAUCUGUGGUAUUUUGUUAGAGCAGCCUAAACAAUUUAAGAAAAUCACAUAAUGCAACUUUGUCAAUUGAAAACAAAGAAAAUAAGAUGUCAUUUGCACAAGGUGACAGAAAAAGUUGCAGACGUAAUGCUGGAUCUAAAAUCUCUAUUUUCUGUCCAACCUUAACCCUCUCCAGCCAUGUCACCUCUCCUGUUGCCACAUCAGGAGGAGAAAACCACUGGCAAUACACACAUGGCAUUCAUGCACAGGAAAGAACAGGUAACUCAUUUUGACUCAAAAGUAAUCUGAGAGCUGGACAAAAAUGACCCUUGUGAAGGAUAUUCUUUAGAAGCCCUCUGCCUACAGCCCCACUCAUCACCUGCAUGUUCUCUUUGAUCCGCUUCCUGUUGUAACUCUUGGCUAGAACCACAACCCCACGUUGUAUCUGGUAGCGAAGGGCAACCAGAGCUGGGGUCUGCUUGUGCUUUUUGGCAAUGGCACAAAGAACUGGGUCCUCCAAAAGAAUAGGGUAGUUCGGGUUCACCCUGGAAGGAAAUCAAGAAAUCCUGAGGAGCUGAGAGUGAGUACUCAGUUUCUAAGAGGAUUCUCAAACAGACCAAGUAGGUCCACUCUAGACCAGUGCUUCUCAAAGUGUGGUCCAGGGACCAGCAGCAUUGGUUUCACCUGGAGUCUUGUUAGAAAUACAAAUCCCAUGGCUUAGCUGAAGACAAACUGAAUCAGAAACUUGACUCUGUCACCUCCCAAUCUGUGUUUACAAAGCUCUCCUGGUCACCUGGGUGUAUGCUGAGUUGAGAUCAAUGUUUCCACAGCUGUGGUUUUGUUCUUGUACAUUUCAGGGGUUGUUUUUCCUCUCCAAUCAUAGCCCCAAAGUAAGUACAAGAGCAUAAAAGGAGAAGGAAAAGACGGAUACUUCUUGUUUAACUUUCUCAGUAUUGAUAAAAAUUGAGUAGUCUCAUAGUAACUAUUCUUUUCAUCACUAUUUACAGUGUGCACUACUUAUACAGAUGUUUACAAAAAUGGUUCAAAUUAUCAUUUUUUUUUGAUCAUCAUUGACCUGGGAGGUUUAUUAUCCUGACUUUUGGCAUAAGGUAAGGAGAAGGCAAUGGCACCCCACUCCAGCACUUUUGCCUGGAAAAUCCCAUGGAUGGAGGAGCCUGGUAGGCUGCAAUCCGUGGGGUCGCUAAGAGUUGGACACGACUGAGCAACUUCGGUUUCACUUUUCACUUUCAUGCAUUGGAGAAGGAAAUGGCAAUCCACUCCAGUGUUCUUGCCUGGAGAAUCCCAGGGAUGGGGGAGCCUGGUGGCUGCCGUCUACGGGGUCACACAGGGUCGGACACGACUGAAGUGACUUAGCAUAGCAAGGGAAGCUCAGAGAGUCUUUUACUAGCAACGUGUUCAUUAGUUACUAAGCAAGUAAAUCAUGACUUAAGCUUAUGUCUUAGAUUUCAACUGGGGGAUUAUAUAUAGAUUUUAAUUCAGUCACUUGUUAUUGAUUAAUCUACAAGACACAUAUAAUGUAAAAAAUACUUGGGUAGGUGAUGAGAAGACAAAAGAGAAGGCUCUUCCAUUUUCCCUCUCUACCCUCUGCCAGUUGAGAGCACUGAGUACAACAUAAAAAAACAUAUUCCAUGAAAAAUUGAAUUUUAGGUAAACUCUGUUGUCUUCCUUAGCGUUCAUUACCAAUUUUUCAAUCGUUGGGAUCCCAGAGCACCAUAGGCAACAAGAACAAUAUCAUGUGACUUGCAGAACUCCAACAGUUUGUUCUGAUUGAGAUAAGGGUGACAUUCCACCUGUAGAAUGCCAACAUAAAAGAGUGUCAGGUUAUAUAGGAAGGUGAUACCAAUAUGACAGAGAAAGGCAAAAAGUUUAAAACAUCUAAAGAAAAAAUAAACUAUGGAACACUAAAUUGGAA